This 141-nucleotide ribosomal RNA is filed under the name uncultured bacterium. Its description in RNAcentral is "partial 16S rRNA". It matches the Rfam family "Bacterial small subunit ribosomal RNA", at positions 355 to 511 of the family's 1533-position model. The record is from RNAcentral.
UGGGGAAUUUUCCGCAAUGGGCGAAAGCCUGACGGAGCAAUGCCGCGUGGAGGUGGAAGGCCUACGGGUCGUCAACUUCUUUUCUCGGAGAAGAAACAAUGACGGUAUCUGAGGAAUAAGCAUCGGCUAACUCUGGGCCAG